AUGAUCUACCUAUUAGUUCGUAUACAUGUUUCUGAAAAAAAAAUCAUAUACCUCGUUGCCCCCUCUCGGUCUUUAUCCUGGCUCCGCCCCUGCCUCUUCCAACGCCGCUGCGCCGUCAGACUCCGCCCGCUGGCACCUCGGCUGCCGCGCCUCUGGCGUGACGGGUGCCAGCCGUCUCGGCUCCGGCAUCUCCGGCCGCCCCGGGCCGUGCCCAUCAUCGCGCCUGGCGACCAGUGGGGCAACUGGGCGUUCCUCCUCUCCGCCGCGGCCUUCGGCACCUGGGCGGAGGAGCGGACGGCGUGGGGCGCGGCGCUGAGCGGGGCGCUGGUGAGCAUCCUGGCCGGGCUGGCGGCGUCGUCGGCGGGGCUGGUGGCGCCCGGAGCGCCCGCGCAGGCCGUCGUCAUGGACUACCUGCUCCCCGUCGCCGUGCCGCUCAAUUGUAAUCGGCACGACGGUGGCUUAUUUGCUAGCGGUGAAUUUCGUGGCGAUCUCGGAGGCGCUGGGCACGACGCCGUCGGUGGUGGCGGCCGGCGUGGCGGCGGACAACCUCAUCUCGGCGCUCUACUUCACGGCCUUCUUCGCGCUGGCGUCCAAGAUACCGCCGGAGCCCAAGAGCGCCACGUCCACGGAGGACGGCGGCGAGGCCCGGGGCAGCAUGUCGGUGCUGCACGGCGGCGCGGCGCUGGCAUGUCGUUCGCGAUCUGCAGGGCCGGCACGGCGGUCGCGGCGGGGCUGGGCGUGGCCGCCGGCGGCACGCUGCCGUGCGUGACGGCGCUGGUGGUGGCCCUGGCGACGGCGUUCCCGGCCUUGCUGGGCCGGCUGGCGCCCUCCGGCGAGACCAUGGCGCUCAUCCUCAUGCAGGUCUUCUUCACGGUGGUGGGCGCCAACGGCAGCGUGGUGGACGCGGUGACCAAGGCGCCCGCCGUGUUUGCGUUCGCGGCCGUGCAGGUGGCCGUGCACCUCGCCGUGGUGCUCGGGGCCGGGAGGCUGGCGGGGCUGGACAGGAAGCAGCUGCUCAUCGCGUCCAACGCCAACAUCGGCGGGCCGACCACGGCCGCCGCCAUGGCGACGGCGAAAGGGUGGGGCUCGCUCGUCGUGCCCGGCAUCCUCGUCGGCAUCUUCGGGAUCUCCGUUGCCACGUUCCUCGGCAUCGGCUUCGGCAUGAUCGUGCUCCGGAGGAUGUCCGGCUUCUAG
RNAcentral lists this ribosomal RNA (1194 nucleotides) under Triticum aestivum (bread wheat). RNAcentral describes it as "partial small subunit ribosomal RNA". The record is from RNAcentral. Lineage: Eukaryota; Viridiplantae; Streptophyta; Magnoliopsida; Poales; Poaceae.